ACGGGUGCGGAACACGUACACAACCUUCCAAUAAGUGGGGAAUAGCCCAGAGAAAUUUGGAUUAAUACCCCGUAACAUAGCGAUGUGGCAUCACAUUGCUAUUAUAGAUUUUUCGCUUAUUGAUGGGUGUGCGGCUGAUUAGAUAGUUGGCGGGGUAACGGCCCACCAAGUCUACGAUCAGUAGCUGAUGUGAGAGCAUGAUCAGCCACACGGGCACUGAGACACGGGCCCGACUCCUACGGGAGGCAGCAGUAAGGAAUAUUGGACAAUGGACGCAAGUCUGAUCCAGCCAUGCCGCGUGAAGGAUUAAGGUCCUCUGGAGUGUAAACUUCUUUUAUAAGGGACGAAAAAAGGCUUUUCUAAGUCGUCUGACGGUACCUUAUGAAUAAGCACCGGCUAACUCCGUGCCAGCAGCCGCGGUAAUACGGAGGGUGCAAGCGUUAUCCGGAUUCACUGGGUUUAAAGGGUGCGUAGGCGGGCAGGUAAGUCAGUGGUGAAAUCCUAGAGCUUAACUCUAGAACUGCCAUUGAUACUAUCUGUCUUGAAUAUUGUGGAGGUAAGCGGAAUAUGUCAUGUAGCGGUGAAAUGCUUAGAUAUGACAUAGAACACCUAUUGCGAAGGCAGCUUACUACGCAUAUAUUGACGCUGACGCACGAAAGCGUGGGGAUCAAACAGGAUUAGAUACCCUGGUAGUCCACGCCCCUAAACGAUGGAUACUCG
Molecule: ribosomal RNA, 720 nt
Filed under: uncultured bacterium
Lineage: Bacteria
Description: bacterial SSU rRNA
Rfam family: Bacterial small subunit ribosomal RNA
Source: RNAcentral